UAUAAAGUUGUUGUUUGGCUUGGUUUCUUCCGGUAAAUGCUCAUCAUUUUCAAUUGAUAAGGACAACCAUAUUCUCCUUUAAGUUAAUUGCAUUAGAAGCAAUGUAA
Molecule: small RNA, 107 nt
Filed under: Chaetoceros debilis
Lineage: Eukaryota; Bacillariophyta; Thalassiosirophyceae; Chaetocerotales; Chaetocerotaceae
Description: partial Alphaproteobacteria transfer-messenger RNA
Source: RNAcentral